RNAcentral lists this small RNA (281 nucleotides) under Rattus norvegicus (Norway rat). Its description in RNAcentral is "uncharacterized LOC103691685". The record is from RNAcentral. Lineage: Eukaryota; Metazoa; Chordata; Mammalia; Rodentia; Muridae.
AUGUCUGCAGCGUGCUGCCCCGUCUCCAGUGCUUCCCUGAAACACCGUGGACUAUUUUCUCUCUGGAACCGGAAACCAGAGUAAACUGUUCUGUCCAUAUGUGCUUUUGGUCGUGGUGUUUUAUCACAGCAACAGAAAAAUGGCACCAGAGGCCCUGGCCUAACUUUCUGGCAGAUCAAACUCAUGUUUGGCUUGUGCCCGCCUUAUGACCACACUGUCUGGGCUUGACUGAGGAAGAUCUUGAGCUUCAGAAAGGCAACAGCUUUUGGAAUAGCUGCUGU